CCUUCAAUAGCUCAGUUGGUAGAGCGGAGGACUGUAGAUCCUUAGGUCGCUGGUUCGAAUCCGGCUCGAAGGA
Molecule: non-coding RNA, 73 nt
Organism: Leopardus geoffroyi (Geoffroy's cat)
Lineage: Eukaryota; Metazoa; Chordata; Mammalia; Carnivora; Felidae
Source: the annotation of a RefSeq genome assembly